AACGCACAUUGCGCCCCUUGGUAUUCCAUGGGGCAUGCCUGUUCGAGCGUCAUCUACACCCUCAAGCUCUGCUUGGUGUUGGGCGUCUGUCCCGCCCCCGCGCGUGGACUCGCCCCAAAUCCAUUGGCAGCGUUCCUUGCCCCCUCUCGCGCAGCACAUUGCGCUUCUCGAGGGCGGCUCCGGGACGCGAUCCAGCAAGAUGACCACCGUCUUUGACCUCGGAUCAGGUAGGGAUACCCGCUGAACUUAA
This 250-nucleotide unclassified non-coding RNA is filed under the name uncultured fungus. Its description in RNAcentral is "partial contains 5.8S ribosomal RNA, internal transcribed spacer 2, and large subunit ribosomal RNA". The record is from RNAcentral. Lineage: Eukaryota; Fungi.